This 366-nucleotide ribosomal RNA is filed under the name uncultured bacterium. RNAcentral's name for it is "partial 16S ribosomal RNA". It matches the Rfam family "Bacterial small subunit ribosomal RNA", at positions 975 to 1332 of the family's 1533-position model. The record is from RNAcentral.
CAGGCCUNGACAUCCUGGGAACCCUCCCGAAAAGGAGGGGUUCCCUUCGGGGAGCCCAUGACAGGUGCUGCAUGGUUGUCGUCAGCUCGUGUCGUGAGAUGUUGGGUUAAGUCCCGCAACGAGCGCAACCCUCGCCAUUAGUUGCCAGCAUUUNGGUGGGCCAUUUNAAGGGGACCCCCUNUAAAAUUAGGAGGAAGGGGGGGAUGACGUCAAUUCAUCAUGCCCCUUACGGCCUGGGCUACACACGUGUUCCAAUGGCCGGUACAGNGGGCAGCCACCUCGGGAGGGGGAGNNAAUCCUNAAAGCCGGUCCCAGUUUGGAUUNCAGUNUGCAACUCGACNNCAUGAANCGGAAUUNNUNAUGNUG